Chionomys nivalis (European snow vole) is the source of this 8286-nucleotide long non-coding RNA. RefSeq lists it as uncharacterized. The record is from RefSeq and is a predicted model, not a curated record. The transcript has 3 exons. Lineage: Eukaryota; Metazoa; Chordata; Mammalia; Rodentia; Cricetidae.
UUCCUCGCCGCUUCCCCAGGCACUCUCCCGGCGGCGGCAGCUGCGCCGCCAAAGCCCCGGGCCCCAGCGGCCCCCCACCCCUCACUCGCGCGCUCCCACACUGCCUCCCCCCCCUCCCCGGGGGGAAGGCCUUUUAAUUUAUUUAUUCUGCUGGGACUGAGGUGGGGGGCUUGGCUGGCGGGGGAGAGGGGGGUCUCUUCGGCCUUCUACCUCCCGCGGCUGGGGCUACCCUUCCAGCUACCGGGCACUUCACGGCGUGCGCCCCCGGGGCCUCCCAAACUGUUUCCAAACUGCCCAGACCGGAGGUGGGCGCGUGGAGACUCGGCGAAAGGGCUGGGUUUGGAGGAGGGCGAUUGUGUGUUUGAAUACUAGGAGCCUGGGGAGGCAGACGUCGACCCCAAACGAGUUGCAAUCGAGGUAUCUCCGAACCCGCUUCCUCUUCGGCCCGCACACCCCCUCCCUCCCUGGAGCAAUACUGGGGAGGGGAAACCAAGAUUUGGAACCACAUUAGCCUUCACAUUCCUGGGAGGAUACAGCCCUCGCCUGGAUGUGGAAGAUAGCUUUUUUUCUCCCUAUUUUCCUUUCUGUUUUUAUUUUUGGAGGGGAGCGCCCAGUAAUUGUCCUGAACACAUGCUUCUUCCUCCAGGCACCAGCGACAGAGAGUCCCCUUUUUUGCAUUUAUCAUUUUCCUUCCCCUUUCUUUAUUAAAGGUCCGGGAGUGGCGGCGGCCAAUCAGCGCUCGGCUUCCAUUUUGUGAGUUCAACUCGGAGGCUCCCCCGGCUUCGCGUGGAUAUGUUUGCAGACCCCUCGGUCUCUCUUCUCGGGCUGCCGACACGAAGUAGCCGCCUCGCUGGGGCUUCGUGGUGGUGUAUUUCAUAUUGGGGCUCUUUUCGGGGUUUGUAAUUUGGCCGUGGGUAGGUAAUUGGCUGGAGCAGGGCGGCAGGGCGCGGCAACCAAUCAGCACACGGCUUCUAUAGGGCUUGAGUUAUUAGACGCUGAUCUCAAAACAUCCUUCAUCAGACUCCAAGGAGAGGCCAACAGAUGAGGGGAGCCAUUUUUCUGCAAUGGAAUUAAAUGGCCAAGUGGGUUUUUCCUUUGUUGCAAAUGGGGAAUGCUUUUCCUUUGACUCCACCAUCCAGUUCAGGACGCCUGAAUGUGUUUAACAUUUGCCAAAGGACUCACACUUGGAAGAAUGAAGAAGACCUUUUAAAAAGAUCUGGAUUUUUCCUUAUGACUUGGAAUCCAUCUUUGUCUUGUAUAACUAGGUCAUAGCACACUAUUAAUGUCAGCAGAUAACAGUUUUGAAUUCAAAAAACCUAAGUAAAUGACAUAUUUAAUUUUUUUCCUCUUUUUUCUUGGGUGGGUGGGGGGAGAGCUUGGAGCUGUCUUAAUCUGUAUUCUCUUGACUGAACAAUAAAUUUUUAAAUAUAAUUUCCUCUAUUAAACACUUAACCUGGUCAUCUUAUUAACUACUCUUUUUAACAAGGUAAUGUUUUAAAUGUAUAGUUGGAGUAGCGAAAUGGCAGCAACAAAAAAAUUGUGAGCUGUUACUGUUAAAUUUUCUAAAAACCUUUUACAUUGUAAGUACCCAAUCCAUUCCGUCCUUCCUGCACUGCAGUUUUUAUGUUACUGUCGCCUGAAAUGUCCUGAAUUUUCGGAAUCUUCAUCUGCAUGUAUGUCUUUGUCUCUGUCUGAUGUAAGUCAGUUAAAAUGCUUUUAGACGUUUGCUCUUAUAAAGCUACGGUUUUUAGUUCAAGCUUUUGGAAAACUGUUUACAGCAGUAGAUGCUGCUCCGAUUUCUUCCCAGUAACUCGUACACUUUCUUUGAAAAUCGAUCUAUUUUGAAGAAAAACAGCUGUUUUUCUCGACUUGGGGGGGGGCGACUGAGAGAGAGGAAGUCUUUCUUUACAAAGACUCAAAGCCGUCACUGAAAACUAGAUUAAAACUGGAAAACAAGUCCUAGCUGGUGCAAGCCAAACACCUACGUUAACCCGGUGCUAUUUUCUAUGGUGGUUGGGAUGGCUGGUGAGCUAUUUUGCCUUUUGUUUGAUUUGACCGUGUUUUCGCCUUUUGUUUCUUAAUGAUCACACCAUUGCUAAAUCCAGAGCAGUAAACAGUCCACAGCGAAGCCGCCUUUUUGCCAGCCCAACCCUGGAAAGUUUGCAGUCGUGGAAGGAGCAGAAAAUACUGAGUGUAACUUACAAAAAGACUCCAUGGCUCCGGGCUGAGCGGGUCUGAACCUUGGUGGCAGAGAAGAAAUUGAAGUGCUUUGGAGAUGGAGGGGCUGAAAGAGCGAGGAAACCUUCCCACCCAUCCUAAGGUUUCGUUCCCAUUUGAUUGUGGGGUUUCUGCAUCCUUAAAUCAGCUUUUCGGGGCUCCGGGGCUCGCCUGCUCUUCCAAAGAGAAAAAGGACAAAAGGCCGGCGUCCAUGUUGGCACCAUGACGCAGCAUCUCUCCCGCCUGCAGCCGGGCGCUGCCUGUCCUCCCGGCCGCGCUCGCUCCUCCCUCCCAAACAUGAGUUUUAUUUUCAGGUUUUGAGCCGAGCCGCAGGCUGGGCCGGGUUGGGGCCAAGGCUGGGGCCGCCCGGCUGCUCAAUGCUGCGGUGGCUAAUGGCGGCCGGCUCUCCUCCUUCCUUCCGCCAUUGUCUUUCCCCGGUUGUCGCUGGGAGGCAGUCCCGGGGUCCUAAGAGCCUGCAAGGCAAGGCACCCGGAAUGCUGGUGACGGGUCUCUGGGGGCCUUGGGCCUCCGGGGCGUCGCGUACCACAGUGCCCGCACUCGCCCACCCACCCCACCCCCGCCCGCCUGCCUGCCUCCCUCCGGGUGAGGCUUGCGACUCCCGCAGUGGCGGCCGCGAGAGGAGCCGGAGCUGGGCAGGGCGAGCCGCUGGAGGCGGGUUGAGGACCCUGAUCUCCGCUGAAGCCCCGGACUCCAUGGCCCAGGAGGGCACGAGGCCUCGCUCUGGCUGCUGUGCCUGCUGCUCUGCCUCGAAACAGGAGCCAAGUAGCCAAGGGCUAAGAGGCUGCCCAAGCCUUCCUUCACUGCCCACUCGGCUUCAGGAGACCCACCCCUGCCUCCCCAGUCGUUCUUUGAUAGCCGAGCCGGAGGGGCGGGUCUCCCCUUUUGUCCCCCCACUUAGGGAUAGAGGCCCUUGCGGUGUCUGAGUCCCUUCACUUGGUCGCCAGGGGCUCAGCCUCCAACCCAGCUCUGCGGGUUGGAGGUGUGUGUGUUGGAGGAGGGGGGCGGUUGGGGCCUGGGAAAGCCGACUGGGGCCUCCCCCUCGGGAACCCCCCCUCCCGUGACGGUGCCCGAGGGUAAAGCCUUAGAUCUCAGCCUUCCUGGGGGAGGGGAUGCGGACAGGGCGGGCCUUUGGAAAUGCAGAUGAGCCGUCUCCUGCUGCUCGUCGCCCGGGCUGAACCUUAGUGACUCAGCCACCCCCACCCCACCCCCACCCAUUCCAGAGUGAGGGCUGCCUUGUCAGCUGGAAAAGGGGGGUCAGCACUUCUGAGGCUCCCUUUCUAUCUAGUAGACCCUGUUGGUUUGCAUUUGGCCGAUCCAUUCUCUGACCUACAAACUGUGGGACUGCCCUAACAGAUCGUCCGAAUUCACAGGUCUUGCCCGGAGCCCGGAGCAAUGUCUCGGUUAUCCCCACAGUAGACAAUCCUUGCCUCCUCUGGACAUCUGGAACAGGCCUAAUUUGACCGACAGCUUGCCCACUAAGGUAGGUAAGAGCACUUUUCCCAAGUUGAGAGAACUAUAUCAGGGGGCUUUGGCCUGCGGCCUUCGAAGGGCGGGUUGAGAUCCCCAAACUCGCUGGGCUGGUUUAGCAGCCCCUCCCCCACGCUGAUGUGGCGGUUGUGUCUGUGUGUGAAAUGGGCGGCCUGCUGGGUCCAUCCAGCCCCGCCUGUCAACCUCUGUUGUCAGGCGUUUAGGGCGGGCGAUUCUCUGCCGAAUUUAGCAACCUACUAGAGCAGGACUACGAAGUAUUUCCCAGUGGUGUGUUUUAUGGUGGGUGGGAGGGUCCUGGAAGCUUCUGAAGGCGUUGACUGCUGCCAGGCUUGCCGGUGGUGCCUCAGCCAUUUCUCCUGAGUCCCAUUAGGGUGGCCAAAUGAGCCACCCUGAUGUCUGACUUGCUGGCUAGACAAAGAACCCAAAAACCUGAAAUCUUAGGCAACCUUCCCAGAGAAAAGGUUUCUUUGACUUCUUUUCCUGGAUUCUCACAGUGGCCCUUCUACCUCCCAACAAGGCCAGGUGGUCGAUAGCCAGGCUUCUAGAACCGGACAAAGCUGGCUGUGAAGCAGACGGGUUCUUUACGAGUGUUUACCGUGCAUACUCAACAUGGUCUGCCAGCCGUCUCCUUAGCUGCAAAAAUUAGACAGGUAUCCUAAGUCAGAAGGGGAACUCAUUUAACCUCACUGUGCCCGGCUCUUAUUUGUCUCAUUCAGAAGGUGCAUCUAAGAAUUAGCGCUUCUCACUGGGUCCCAGGCACUGCCAGUUUUCCAGACUUUCCCUGCUAGGUGACACCUGGGAUAUUCUCCAUCUGUGUAGCUCCAGUUGGCUAGUCCUCCUCCGGCCCAGGAAACUUCACAGAUGAAAGUGGUGUGGCCCUUGAUCUCUGACCCCUACCCCCCCCCCAAGAGUGCUCCUAGUUAGCUGUUACUUUGAUGAGCCUUUUGGCUGCAGGUGCUCCCCGUUUUGGCCUAAGCUUCCAGCUUCUUCCCCUUGUUCGUCACCCCCGCAGUGAGUGCUGGAGUGUGGCUUGGGGAGCCUGGCAGGCUUCACAGAGGGGUUGUUGAAGGCAGGUUAGUGCCCAGUCGGGGGAUGAUUGAAGCCUGGCAGCUGUAAGCUAGUGACCUUGGACCAAUGCUGCCGUCCUGUUCCGUUCCCCUCCCUCCCCACCCCCGUAAAAGGAUCAUAACUGCUGGAAAAGGUUGAUGGGAGGAUUAAUGGCGAUUAAGGGGGCCGCACUCCUGCUCUGGCCUCCAUUACGAUAGGGAUUGUUGCUGGGAGUGGCUGCGUGGGUGGGGGCUGGGCUGUGUCUUGGGCUCCUCCCCGCCAGUCCACUUCCUGAAGCACGUGCCGGAGCCUCCAGGCAAAGGAGAAAGAAAACUGGCUCUGCUUGGGAAGGCGGCCAGCUGUUUUCCUUCCAGUGCAGUUUUCAGUCCCGGCUGUUCCGGGUUCAGUGGGCUGUUCUGUAGUGGGUCACGAUUUUUCAGGGUUACCCACUAAUGACCCCAAGAAAAGAAACAGCUCACCCAAGGUUCUGAGGCCACGACAGACAGGGUUCCAGGUUAUCUUGGAUUUUCAGCCCAGAGCCUGGGCCCCUGACAACCCCCUUGCUCAGCUGUCUGGGUUAUUUUAGGCACCCUCCCGUUCCAGCUGUCUGCUGCCAUCACUGUCAGAGAGCUGUCUGAUAGCGAGGAACCAGAGUGGUCUGUGGCUCCCGCCGGUCCAGAGGGCCAGGCUUCCAGCUCUGGGUGAGCUUGCUUUGUGCUGGGAGGGCUGAACUCUUCGCCCCGAAUGGGAAAAGGCAGGAAAAGCACUUUCUAAGUUGAUUGGGUUCAUACUAUAUGGGCCUUGUAAGCCACUUGGUCCUUCUAAGGGACCUGCUUUUCUGGCUAGAGUCCUUGGGUCUGGGGUCUUUAUCUCCUCCAGCCUCAGACUAAGUAAUUGACUAAGUCGCGCUGUGUCAGCUGUACCCUGGAGGGCUAUAGACUUUGGGAAACAAUUAGGUGCUAAACUGUGUGGUGUGAAUCUUGAAAGGGAAAGACAGAAGUGACAGGGCCAACUUGCGACCCAUUUCCACCUCAGGCUCUUUCACCUCCGGUUUCUAGCUCUUGGCGCUUGCGCUCUCUCUGUCUCUCUCUUUCUCCUCUCUGUCUCUCUCUCUCUGUCUCUCUCUGUCUGUCUCUGUCUGUCUGUCUCUCUUUCUCUCUCUCCCUCUCUCCCUUUCUCUCUUGGCCCCCUUAUCACCUCCUGGGCAGUAGGGUGGAGCAUUUUGUAUGGCUGUUGUUCCUGGCCUUGAGGGGUGCCCCGCCCACUUGGUCACCCACUGAGCUUGGGGCGGGGCUGCUUUGGCCUGCUGAGAGAGGGCCACGCCAGCGGAAGGACUGCCUGAGCUGGGAGGUGGCUGGACUAGUUUCAUUACACAGACUCCAGCAUCCCCGCCCCUUCCGUCUCCUCCACCUGGCCUGGAGCCCUCGUUUGGAAUAUGACCUUUUAGACACUCUAGGUGGAGACAGUAGUCAAGAUGGGUAGGAACACCCCACCAUCACCUGCCCCCAGUGUUUUUGCAGACUGUUCUGUGCUCUCAGGCAAGUUCCUGCGGGUGGAAAGGAGGAGGGGAAGUCGAACCGCGUGGGCUAUUUCUAACAGAAAAGGGUCUUGCCAUGUCCCGGCUAGUCCUCUUGACAGGCUGGAACCAUAAGUACAAUGCUUUGUGCCCAGCUUAAGCCGUUUUUCCAGCCUGGCCUCUAGAAAUGGCUUGCCCAUCCUCCACUGGUUCCCUAGAGCUGUUAGGCAGCUGGGGCCUGGAGGAAGACUGCCUAGCCCAGAGGCUAAGAUAGCACCCCUAGACACCUUGGCUUCACACCCCCCACCCCUUUAUCUGUUAAGUAGAGCCUGAGUCUUUAUCUCUCACUGCUAUUGAUACCAUCUAUAUUUGGAUAGCUAAAUAAUUGAUUUAUGGGGCCUCUGAGUAGGGGAGCCAUGCCCUCAGCCUCUCCCAUCCAAAUUUGUACUUUGUCCUGAAAGACUGAAGGCAUCCUGCCUCUGCUGUCCUGGACCUGUUGGCCUCUGUGGCAUAGUCUUCCCUGAGACCAUCCUGUGGCUCCCUGAGGGGUUUUGUGGCAAGAAACAACUGAAGGAAUCGCUUCCUCUCCUACACUUUCCAGGAAUUCCUGGAGAAUCAGAGAGUGACCCCAGGCCCCCAGAACAUUGCUGGUGAGGGAAUAAGCCACCCUGUGUGGGUGAGUGAGUCUUAUCUCUUCAGCUAGACUGGCCUGGCCUGGCCUGACCUCUGAGGAGGCUCUAAACAGCAGCUGGCUGGAUUCCUGGGUAUUUUUAGCUACACAGAUCCAGCCCCACCAUCACCAUGAGAGCUGGGUCCAAAUCCAGCACUCCAGGCCUGCUAGUCCUGGGGUUCUGCCAGCCUCCUGAUAAAGCUGGGGUGGGUGGGUAGGGCAGGCUGGAACCAGUAGCGGCGUGUACCCUGAACCCACCUGAGCCAGAAUCAUUCGCUUUCAGUCACUUCCUCUCUGAGGCCUCCUGUAGACUUGCUCUGAGGAUGGAGAGUGCAGACACAGGUCUCAGGGAUCUGUGGAAAGUCGGGAGCCCUCUCUUGGCUAUAUGUAGCAGAACAAGCACUUUUUCCUUCUAAGUGAGUUUUCUCCCCUGGCACAUGCAGCCAGCCUCCCUGGCUCUGGACCAAGCCUGAAAAAGCCUGAAAGAAGAAACCUGGAAUCCUUGCGAAGGUAAGUGGGUCCCAACGCCCUCCGAGCCAUGCUCACCUUUGUGCCCUACCCUGGAGUGGCCUGCUCUAUGUUCUCUGGGGAACCUUGCCUUUGGCAUGCUGUCCCUCCUUUUUUGUUUUGGUUGGUUGCUUGCUUUUUUUUUUUUUUUUUUUUUUUCCGAGACAGGGUUCCUCUGUGGUUUUGGAGCCUGUCCUGGAACUAGCUCUUAUAGACCAGGCUGGUCUCGAACUCAGAGAGAUCCUCCUGCCUCUGCCUCCCAAGUGCUGGGAUUAAAGGCGUGGUUGUUUGCUUUUUGAGACACGAUUCUUCUGUAGCUUUGUGGCCUGUCCUGAAACUAGCUCUUCUAGACCAGCCUGGCCUUGAACUCAGAGGUCCACCUGCCCCUGCCACCCGGGUGCUGGGAUUAGAGAUGUGUCCCACCACGGCCAAGUUUUUUUUUUUAAACCAUCCUCAAAGGGCCACUAAGACAUUGCCGCAGCCCUUCCUCCCUUGCCUGGUUUUGACAGGAAUCAUCUGUUGACUCUUUGUAGCCAGCCCUCCUUCCCCUCCAACCAACAGACUAACAGUCAGGCCCUCCCUGAUAUAGCUGUUACCUUGACAACCCCUUGGGCCUGUUUCCCCCUCACCACUGAAACCCGAAGAGGGUUUUCAAGCUGCAGUACAUAUGCCCAAGUUGGGCACCGCUUCUGCUUCCAUUGGCACAUCUUCUGCCCAACUGUACCCAAUAUAACAAACACAGCCUUCCCUGGUCCUUUAGCUGAUCUCACUGGUGCUGGGAACUCCUGUCAAACUGCUUCCUUCAGACUGCCUCCCCCAC